Molecule: unclassified non-coding RNA, 234 nt
Filed under: Hevea brasiliensis (rubber tree)
Lineage: Eukaryota; Viridiplantae; Streptophyta; Magnoliopsida; Malpighiales; Euphorbiaceae
Source: RNAcentral
UUUGUGAUGGCAUGUAUCGGUAAUCAAGUUCGGCCUUGUGACUUGAGAUUGCAUUUAAUGAAGGUGAUCUGGGUUUCUUGUUUAGGUUUCCAUCAGCAAUAAUAACAACGUUAGUUCAUUUAGCUAUGUAUGUUAAGUAAUUUGAUAUAGAGACUGCAUGAGUUUUCCAUUACCCACAUAUAGAAAUAACACAACAACAAUAACUAAACUUUAAUCUCAAACUAGUUGAGAUCA